Molecule: ribosomal RNA, 732 nt
Filed under: Triticum aestivum (bread wheat)
Lineage: Eukaryota; Viridiplantae; Streptophyta; Magnoliopsida; Poales; Poaceae
Description: partial small subunit ribosomal RNA
Source: RNAcentral
AUGAGCUACAUGAUCCUAUACAACUUUUACAGAAAUGCUACUUUUGUCUUUGUGCUUUUCUGGUAUGUACUUUACACUGGUUAUACCCUGUCAACAGCAAUAAAUGAGUGGAGCAGUGUGUUAUACUCUGUGGUCGUUACCUCUGCGCCGACUGUCAUUGUCGCCAUUCUCGACAAGGAUCUGAGCCGAAGGACAUUGCUGAAAUACCCCCAACUCUACGGUGCGGGGCAGCGCGAGGAGAGUUACAACCUAAGACUAUUCAUUUUCAUCAUGGUGGACUCUGUUUGGCAGAGCGUCGCAGUUUUCUUCAUCCCUUACCUCGCAUACAAAAACAGCGCAAUCGACAGCGCCAGCCUCGGAGACCUGUGGACACUGUGUGUUGUCAUUCUUGUCAACAUUCACCUUGCCAUGGAUGUCAUCAGAUGGACUUGGAUCACUCAUGCAGCAAUAUGGGGCAGUAUUGUGGCGACAUGGAUUUGCGUCAUCAUCAUAGACUCCAUACCCACCUUGCCCGGUUUCUGGGCAAUCUAUGAGGUGAUGGGAACUGCAUUGUUCUGGGCAUUGCUUCUUGCGGUGAUUGUGGUUGGAAUGAUCCCUCAUUUUGCUGCAAAGGCCAUCAGGGAACAUUUCAUGCCCAAUGACAUCCAGAUUGCGAGAGAGAUGGAGAAGUCGCGAGAUUCUCGUGAUGCUAAUCAUCCAGAAGUCCAGAUGAGUACAUCCACUCGAGCUUAG